Molecule: ribosomal RNA, 174 nt
Filed under: Eimeria wyomingensis
Lineage: Eukaryota; Apicomplexa; Conoidasida; Eucoccidiorida; Eimeriidae
Description: partial 28S rRNA
Rfam family: Eukaryotic large subunit ribosomal RNA
Source: RNAcentral
ACUAGACCUGAAAUCAGCCGAGGAUACCCGCUGAAUUUAAGCAUAUUAUUAAGCGGAGGAAAAGAAAAUAACUAUGAUUCCCUUAGUAACGGCGAGUGAAGAGGGAGGUGCUCAAAGUGAAAAUCGUGAUACCUCCCUAUGGUACCGCGAGUUGUAGCCUCUAGAGGCGUACCA